GAUGAACGCUGGCGGCGUGCCUAAUACAUGCAAGUCGAGCGAACGGACGAGAAGCUUGCUUCUCUGAUGUUAGCGGCGGACGGGUGAGUAACACGUGGAUAACCUACCUAUAAGACUGGGAUAACUUCGGGAAACCGGAGCUAAUACCGGAUAAUAUUUUGAACCGCAUGGUUCAAAAGUGAAAGACGGUCUUGCUGUCACUUAUAGAUGGAUCCGCGCUGCAUUAGCUAGUUGGUAAGGUAACGGCUUACCAAGGCAACGAUGCAUAGCCGACCUGAGAGGGUGAUCGGCCACACUGGAACUGAGACACGGUCCAAACUCCUACGGGAGGCAGCAGUAGGGAAUCUUCCGCAAUGGGCGAAAGCCUGACGGAGCAACCCCGCGUGAGUGAUGAAGGUCUUCGGAUCGUAAAACUCUGUUAUUAGGGAAGAACAUAUAUGUAAGUAACUGUGCACAUCUUGACGGUACCUAAUCAGAAAGCCACGGCUAACUACGUGCCAGCAGCCGCGGUAAUACGUAGGUGGCAAGCGUUAUCCGGAAUUAUUGGGCGUAAAGCGCGCGUAGGCGGUUUUUUAAGUCUGAUGUGAAAGCCCACGGCUCAACCGUGGAGGGUCAUUGGAAACUGGAAAACUUGAGUGCAGAAGAGGAAAGUGGAAUUCCAUGUGUAGCGGUGAAAUGCGCAGAGAUAUGGAGGAACACCAGUGGCGAAGGCGACUUUCUGGUCUGUAACUGACGCUGAUGUGCGAAAGCGUGGGGAUCAAACAGGAUUAGAUACCCUGGUAGUCCACGCCGUAAACGAUGAGUGCUAAGUGUUAGGGGGUUUCCGCCCCUUAGUGCUGCAGCUAACGCAUUAAGCACUCCGCCUGGGGAGUACGACCGCAAGGUUGAAACUCAAAGGAAUUGACGGGGACCCGCACAAGCGGUGGAGCAUGUGGUUUAAUUCGAAGCAACGCGAAGAACCUUACCAAAUCUUGACAUCCUUUGACAACUCUAGAGAUAGAGCUUUCCCCUUCGGGGGACAAAGUGACAGGUGGUGCAUGGUUGUCGUCAGCUCGUGUCGUGAGAUGUUGGGUUAAGUCCCGCAACGAGCGCAACCCUUAAGCUUAGUUGCCAUCAUUAAGUUGGGCACUCUAAGUUGACUGCCGGUGACAAACCGGAGGAAGGUGGGGAUGACGUCAAAUCAUCAUGCCCCUUAUGAUUUGGGCUACACACGUGCUACAAUGGACAAUACAAAGGGCAGCGAAACCGCGAGGUCAAGCAAAUCCCAUAAAGUUGUUCUCAGUUCGGAUUGUAGUCUGCAACUCGACUACAUGAAGCUGGAAUCGCUAGUAAUCGUAGAUCAGCAUGCUACGGUGAAUACGUUCCCGGGUCU
Molecule: ribosomal RNA, 1372 nt
Filed under: uncultured bacterium
Lineage: Bacteria
Description: bacterial SSU rRNA
Rfam family: Bacterial small subunit ribosomal RNA
Source: RNAcentral